Molecule: ribosomal RNA, 821 nt
Filed under: uncultured Planctomycetota bacterium
Lineage: Bacteria; Pseudomonadati; Planctomycetota
Description: bacterial SSU rRNA
Rfam family: Bacterial small subunit ribosomal RNA
Source: RNAcentral
GUCGAGCGAGAACCGUAGCAAUACGGGGACAGCGGCGAAAGGGACAGUAAUGUGUAGGUACCUACCCCCGGGUUCGGGAUAGCUGCGGGAAACUGCAGGUAAUACCGAAUAAUGUCUCCGGACCAAAGGUGUGAUUCCACCUGGGGAGGGGCCUGCAUCCUAUUAGCUUGUUGGUGGGGUAACGGCCUACCAAGGCAACGAUGGGUAGCGGGUGUGAGAGCAUGACCCGCGUCAUUGGGACUGAGACACUGCCCAGACACCUACGGGUGGCUGCAGUCGAGAAUCUUCGGCAAUGGGCGAAAGCCUGACCGAGCGACGCCGCGUGCGGGAUGAAGGCCCUCGGGUUGUAAACCGCUGUCGUAGAGGAGGAAAUGCAGGGGGGUUCUCCCCUUUGCUUGACCUAUUCUAGGAGGAAGUACGGGCUAAGUUCGUGCCAGCAGCCGCGGUAAGACGAACCGUACAAACGUUACUCGGAAUUACUGGGCUUAAAGGGUGCGUAGGCUGCGCGGAAAGUUGGGUGUGAAAGCCCUCGGCUCAACCGAGGAAUUGCAUUCAAAACUACCGUGCUCGAGGGAGACAGAGGUAAGCGGAACUCAAGGUGGAGCGGUGAAAUGCGUUGAUAUCUUGAGGAACACCGGUGGCGAAGGCGGCUUACUGGGUCUCUUCUGACGCUGAGGCACGAAAGCUAAGGUAGCAAACGGGAUUAGAUACCCCGGUAGUCUUAGCUGUAAACGAUGAGCACUUGAUUGGAGGGUCCUCCAUAGCCUUCCAGUCGUAGCGAAAGUGUUAAGUGCUCCGCCUGGGGAGUAUGGUCGCAAGGC